RNAcentral lists this non-coding RNA (29 nucleotides) under Mus musculus (house mouse). The record is from RNAcentral. Lineage: Eukaryota; Metazoa; Chordata; Mammalia; Rodentia; Muridae.
UAUUUGUUUUUGUGUAGGGUUGAGGCCCC